AAGCAAACAGGUCUGAUGACUUCCAGGCAGUGAACCAGUAUCAAGUGGAAGAGAUCAGCCCUGCUGGCAUUACUAGAGGUAACUCACUGCCCAGACCUGGGUCGAGAUUCUGCUGAGAGAAUUGCUACUUUGUAUCCAUCAGUGUUUGCUGAGCUUGGGAUCCCUCCUCUCUGGGAAGACCUCACAGUCAAACCUUCAC
Molecule: long non-coding RNA, 199 nt
Filed under: Fukomys damarensis (Damara mole-rat)
Lineage: Eukaryota; Metazoa; Chordata; Mammalia; Rodentia; Bathyergidae
Description: lncRNA (ENSFDAG00000024488.1)
Source: RNAcentral